RNAcentral lists this long non-coding RNA (253 nucleotides) under Elaeis guineensis (African oil palm). RNAcentral's name for it is "long non-coding RNA (EGUI_LNC080186)". The record is from RNAcentral. Lineage: Eukaryota; Viridiplantae; Streptophyta; Magnoliopsida; Arecales; Arecaceae.
AUUCAGAGAGAACACCAGACAGAUGGUGCUUGCAAUGUCAAUCAGAAAUGAUGGUCCUAUUAUCAUUCACCUUAAAGGAAGGCUAUGAUCUAGUUAUCCUCAUAACUAGCUCAUUUUAUGGAUCUAAUAAUUUAGAAGAUUUAAUCAAUUUAAAAAAAAAGAUGAGAAGAGAUCAAUCAGUAAAUCACAAUCCUCCCACUGACUUCACCAAGUCAUUAAAUUGGAUUAAGGUCAUGCUGGUUGAACUGGCACC